This 237-nucleotide long non-coding RNA is filed under the name Zea mays. RNAcentral describes it as "long non-coding RNA NONZMAT000321". The record is from RNAcentral. Lineage: Eukaryota; Viridiplantae; Streptophyta; Magnoliopsida; Poales; Poaceae.
UUUUUGCCUAGAUAAUGCAGUAAUAUCUGUUUUGUACCGUAGCAGUUCACAGCAACAAAAGGUUUUAUCCCCUUGGAUGACUAUUGAUGUAGGUGAUCUGAGACCUUUGGUUUAUGAUAGAACAUGGUCUUCUACUUGAUCUGGUAUGAUAAUAUGGACUCUCAGUUAAAGCUAUACCAACUUUGAGAGUUCAUACAAAGUUAGCUUAGAUGACAAGGGAUCCGAAGACAAAUGCAA